ACUCAAAUGAAUAGACGGGGACCCGCACAAGCGGUGGAGCAUGUGGAUUAAUUCGAUACUAACCGAAGAACCUUACCCAGACUUGACAUCGAUGGCAAGACUUAGAAAUAGGUCCCUUAGGCCACAAGCCUAACCUGAAGACACCUGUUGCAUGGCUGUCGUCAGCUCGUGCCGUGAGGUGUUUGGUUAAGUCCAGCAACGAGCGCAACCCUCAUCCUGUGUUACCAGCAAGUAAAGUUGGGGACUCACGGGAAACCGCCGGCGUAAGCCGGAGGAAGGUGAGGAUGACGUCAAGUCAGCAUGGCGGUUACGUCUGGGGCUUCACACAUGCUACAAUGGGCGCAACAAACGGCAGCAAUACCGCGAGGUGGAGCUAAUCCGAAAAAUACGCCCCCAGUUCAGAUUGCAGUCUGCAACUCGACUGCAUGAAGUCGGAAUCGCUAGUAACCGCAGGUCAGCUAUACUGCGGUGAAUACGUUCCCGGGUCUUGCACACACCGCCCGU
This 504-nucleotide ribosomal RNA is filed under the name uncultured bacterium. RNAcentral describes it as "partial 16S ribosomal RNA". It matches the Rfam family "Bacterial small subunit ribosomal RNA", at positions 899 to 1397 of the family's 1533-position model. The record is from RNAcentral.